RNAcentral lists this ribosomal RNA (449 nucleotides) under uncultured organism. RNAcentral describes it as "partial 16S ribosomal RNA". It matches the Rfam family "Bacterial small subunit ribosomal RNA", at positions 335 to 800 of the family's 1533-position model. The record is from RNAcentral.
ACUCCUGCGGGAGGCAGCAGUGGGGAAUAUUGGACAAUGGGCGCAAGCCUGAUCCAGCCAUGCCGCGUGAGUGAUGAAGGCCCUAGGGUUGUAAAGCUCUUUCACCGGUGAAGAUAAUGACGGUAACCGGAGAAGAAGCCCCGGCUAACUUCGUGCCAGCAGCCGCGGUAAUACGAAGGGGGCUAGCGUUGUUCGGAUUUACUGGGCGUAAAGCGCACGUAGGCGGACUAUUAAGUCAGGGGUGAAAUCCCGGGGCUCAACCCCGGAACUGCCUUUGAUACUGGUAGUCUUGAGUUCGAGAGAGGUGAGUGGAAUUCCGAGUGUAGAGGUGAAAUUCGUAGAUAUUCGGAGGAACACCAGUGGCGAAGGCGGCUCACUGGCUCGAUACUGACGCUGAGGUGCGAAAGCGUGGGGAGCAAACAGGAUUAGAAACCCCGGUAGUCCCAUGA